CAGUCGCCGCGGUAAUACAGAGGGUGCGAGCGUUAAUCGGAUUUACUGGGCGUAAAGCGUGCGUAGGCGGCUAAUUGAGUCGGAUGUGAAAUCCCCGAGCUUAACUUGGGAAUUGCAUUCGAUACUGGUUAGCUAGAGUGUGGGAUAGGAUGGUAGAAUUCCAGGUGUAGCGGUGAAAUGCGUAGAGAUCUGGAGGAAUACCGAUGGCGAAGGCAGCCAUCUGGCCUAACACUGACGCUGAGGUACGAAAGCAUGGGGAGCAAACAGGAUUAGAUACCCGUGUAGUCCCUGUCUCUUAUAC
This 301-nucleotide ribosomal RNA is filed under the name uncultured bacterium. RNAcentral describes it as "partial 16S ribosomal RNA". It matches the Rfam family "Bacterial small subunit ribosomal RNA", at positions 509 to 807 of the family's 1533-position model. The record is from RNAcentral.